RNAcentral lists this unclassified non-coding RNA (220 nucleotides) under uncultured Mycobacteriales bacterium. RNAcentral's name for it is "uncultured Corynebacteriales bacterium contains 16S-23S intergenic spacer region". It matches the Rfam family "Bacterial small subunit ribosomal RNA", at positions 976 to 1194 of the family's 1533-position model. The record is from RNAcentral. Lineage: Bacteria; Bacillati; Actinomycetota; Actinomycetes; Mycobacteriales.
UGGGUUUGACAUGCACCAGACAUCCCUAGAGAUACGGCCCCCCUUGUGGUCGGUAUACAGGUGGUGCAUGGCUGUCGUCAGCUCGUGUCGUGAGAUGUUGGGUUAAGUCCCGCAACGAGCGCAACCCUUGUCCUGUGUUGCCAGCGCGUAAUGGCGGGGACUCGCAGGAGACUGCCGGGGUCAACUCGGAGGAAGGUGGGGAUGACGUAGCUAAGCCUUC